UGAGGAAUCUUGCGCAAUGGAGGAAACUCUGACGCAGCCAUGCCGCGUGAAGGAAGACACCCCGCUGGGGCGUAAACUUCUUUUGUAUGGGAAGAAACGUGGGCUCAUGCCCACCUGACGGUACCGUACGAAUAAGGACCGGCUAACUCCGUGCCAGCAGCCGCGGUAAUACGGAGGGUCCAAGCGUUGUCCGGAAUCACUGGGUGUAAAGGGUGUGUAGGUGGACUUAUAAGUCAGAGGUGAAAGCCCACGGCUCAACCGUGGAAUUGCCUUUGAUACUGUAAGUCUUGAGUCCUGGAGGGGCUGUUGGAAUUCGUGGUGUAGCGGUGAAAUGCGUAGAUAUCACGAGGAACACCAGAGGCGUAAGCGAACAGCUGGACAGGUACUGACACUGAGGCACGAAAGCGUGGGGAGCAAACA
RNAcentral lists this ribosomal RNA (420 nucleotides) under uncultured bacterium. RNAcentral's name for it is "bacterial SSU rRNA". It matches the Rfam family "Bacterial small subunit ribosomal RNA", at positions 355 to 774 of the family's 1533-position model. The record is from RNAcentral.